Molecule: transfer RNA, 52 nt
Filed under: Dysdera guayota
Lineage: Eukaryota; Metazoa; Arthropoda; Arachnida; Araneae; Dysderidae
Description: tRNA-Leu
Source: RNAcentral
CCCAUUGUGGCAGAACCCUAUUGCAAAAGAUUUAGAAUCUUACUAACCUUUA